GAGUUCUGGCGGUUCUGGUGGUUCUGGCGGCACCGUCGACCCGGUCGGACGGGAGAGUUGGAACAGCCAGCAGUCUCCUGCCGCGCGUCGGGAUGAACGGUCGCGUCGUCAGAGCACAGCCUCGCCGAGAUGUUAAUGGAGCCAGACGUACCUCGUAGGUGUCACUGAUCCGUCGGUUGUGGGAAUGAUAAAUUAUCGCGGCGAUUAGCGCCGGCCUGGAGUUGAUGAUCGGGCGACUGUGCCUCGCGAAUCAUGAGAAUACCCUCGUCGAGGAGAUUUGCCGAAUCGCCCGCGGUGAGAAGGGCCGACGAGGACGAAUGACAACUUUGAACCACCCUGGUUUUUGGAAGGCUUAGAGGAGAGGGAACUCGCCCCGAGAUCACGGGAUUAAUGCUGUCGACUUCGAAUCUUCGGAGUACAGGGAAAGUUGGCAAGGAUUUCGAGUCUUGAUUCGGGUAUCCGUUAUCUACGGAUAACAUUCGCUGCUGAGAGAAAAUGUUCGGUUUUGUGGCAUACGGAUCGUUAUUUCUAUUACUCGGUCAUACCGGGCUUCUUUGCUUUCGCGAUCUGCAGCAGCGACUCUGGCAUUGACGCGGAACGUAUUUUCUAAUCCGAAGUGAACUACUCGGGCCGGAUUCGAAGCUUAGGAUAGUGCGAUUCUUAACCAAUUUCCUUUUUCAAAGUUAUGUUUCGAUUUGCUCUCAUCAACGGAAGACAAUCGAGCACCGGCUGACACGGUGCGCGACUAGUGGUCGAAAUGCGGGAAAUUGUGAUGAAAAUGAUGCUUUUUUGGGUGAUCAGGAUAUUGGUUAGCUACAACACGGCCGUGUGCUUCGCGUUGUUCGUCGGCGAGGCCGCCGCGGAGCCUCUUAGAUAUGCUGCGCCGGAGGACUGUGCAUGGCACUCGCAUAAUUCGGAGGACGAAGUUUCGCUGACCUGUUCGCUUCGCUCGAUAAACAGUGAGUUUGACACGACGAACUUUAGCCUGAUACCGAGCGAACAUACCGCCGUGCUGAAAAUAGAAUGCGACACCAGUAUUCAGACGAAAAGCUCACUUAGCGAGGACAGCUUUGCCCACCUUCACAAACUCCGCGAGCUUCACUUGGACGGAUGCAAACUUGCCAACUGGCCCGCGGGCGCUCUUAACGGUCUGAGAAAUUUGCGGAACCUCGCCAUCAGGACGCGGAACAACGAUUAUCCUGCCUUUAGCUUGGAACUAUUCCCGGACGCGUUCGCCGUCACGCCUCAUAUAGAAAAAUUGGACCUAGCCUCAAACAACAUAUGGUCCUUUCCGGACCGUCUGUUUUGCCCCCUGUCGGCGUUGGUAUAUUUGAAUGUGUCUGGCAACAGAUUACAGGAUGUCACGGAGCUCAAUUUUCGGGAGACCAGCGAACCCCAGCCGCAAUCAUUGGUCGCCGACUCCGAGGAACCGCCGACGAGUUCGACCUCGUGUUCCCUGGACAUUCAAAUCCUUGACGUUUCCUCGAACCACCUCAUCGUGCUUCCUUCGAAAGGAUUUUCCACUCUGAGACGGUUGAAGGAAUUGCGCCUCGCGAGGAACGAGAUCAAUAUGGUCGACGACAAGGCGCUAUUCGGUCUUCGGAGCCUUGAGAUAUUUGAUCUGUCAGACAACAGGGUUGUCGCCCUGCCCGCCGAGUUGUUCAGAGACACGGCCAACACUAUCAAGGAAAUCCACUUGCAGAAUAAUUCACUGAGUGUUCUCGCGCCCGGUUUGUUUGCCGACUUAAAACAGCUCGUCGCGUUAUACUUGUCCAGGAAUUCACUGACCAGUGCUUGGUUCAGCUCGACCACGUUUUCGGGUCUGAUUAGAUUGGUUCUGCUGGAUUUGUCGAGGAACAAAAUAGCCACGCUGGACCCGGCGCUCUUCAAGGAUCUGUACACCGUCCAGAUUUUGAAUUUGCAAAAUAACAAGCUCGAAACCAUACCUGCGGACACGUUUUCGCCGAUGAGUAACCUGCACACUCUCGUGCUGAAAAAUAAUCGCCUAACUUACCUGGAUGCCUACUCAUUGAACGGACUAUUCGCGCUGUCUUUGCUGGCUCUUGACUCGAAUCACAUCGAAGGGAUACAUCCGGACGCAUUUCGAAACUGUUCCAGUCUCCGCGACCUAAAUUUGUCGGGUAAUAACUUGGACAGCAUACCGGCAGCUCUGAAGGACAUGCGGAUGCUGCGAACGAUAGAUCUGGGCGAAAAUCAGAUAAAGAGACUGGUUGAUCCGGGGUUUAAGGGUAUGUCUAGUUUGUACGGAUUGAGAUUAAUUGGAAACGAAAUAGCGAACGUCACGAAAGCAGCUUUCGCCGAGAUGCCGGCCUUGCAAAUAUUGAACCUCGCUAGGAAUAAAAUCGAGAGAGUGGAGAGCGGUGCUUUCGGGGAGAGUCCAGCGCUUCAGGCUGUUCGUCUAGACGCGAACUUCAUUCGGGACAUGAGCGGUAUAUUCAUGAACGCUCCGGGUCUGCUGUGGCUGAACAUGUCCGACAACGCAAUCGAGCACUUCGAUUACACCCUGCUUCCGCGGGAGUUGCAGUGGCUCGACAUGCACAAGAACAAAAUUUCCGACCUGGGCGUCGCCCCGCCGGGACUCCGGAUCCAAACCCUGGACGCAUCCUUUAAUCGAAUAACCAAGAUUCCGGCCAAUUCUUUGCCCGAAUCCAUAGAGCUACUCUUCCUCAAUGACAAUCUCAUCCACAGUGUCGAACCGCACACGUUCGUGGCUAAGGUGAACCUCACCAGGGUCGAUUUGUAUGCAAACCAGAUCGUGAGCAUGGAACUGUCGGCGCUGCAACUCGCCCCGGUGCCACCCGAUAGAGCUUUGCCAGAGUUUUACGUCGGCGGAAAUCCUUUCCAGUGUGACUGCACCAUGGAGUGGCUGCAGAGGAUAAACGCGUUAACUUUACGCCAGCAUCCGAAAGUUAUGGAUUUGGCAUCGGUGUACUGCCGGCUUCCUUACGAUAGGCGAAAGUCGUUCGCACCGCUUCUCGAAGCAUCGCCGUCUCAGUUUCUCUGCACCUACAAAACGCACUGUUUCGCUCUCUGCCACUGCUGUGACUUCGACGCCUGCGACUGCGAGAUGACUUGUCCUACGAAUUGUACCUGCUACCACGACCAAUCGUGGUCGGCGAACGUCGUCGACUGUUCGCGGUCCGGCUACACCAACUUGCCAGGACGUCUGCCCAUGGACGCUACCGAGGUCUACUUGGACGGCAACGAGUUCGGAGAGCUGACGUCGCACGCCUUCAUUGGACGAAAAAACUUGCAGGUUCUCUACGCCAAUAACAGCAACAUCGUGUCCAUUCACAAUCACACGUUCAGCGGACUGAAGCGGCUGGUUGUGCUUCAUCUUGAGAAUAACAAGAUAAUCACGCUGAGAGGAUUGGAGCUGGCCGCUCUGGCCGGCCUCAAGGAACUGUACUUACAAAACAACCUCCUGGUUCAUAUCGAUAACGGGACUUUCCUCCCGCUGAGAGAACUGGAGGUUCUGCGGCUGGAGAACAAUCGGCUAACGACAUUCGCAGUCUGGCAGCUAGCCCAGAACCCUUACCUGGUGGACAUCGGGCUCGUUAAUAAUCCCUGGAGCUGCGAGUGCGGGUAUUUAGGCCGCUUCAGGGAAUGGGUCUCCGUUCAUAAGGCCAAGAUUACCGAUCUAGCCCGCGUCUCUUGCGCGCUGGGGUCGCCCCUUGGUAUUCACGGAAACUCUUCGGUGAUAAAUUGCGCCGCGUUGUCCGGCGCUACUCCCGCCAUUGAGACACGCCCUCUCGAGGGCUACCUUCCUCUUCUGCUGGCGUCCGCGGCGUUAUUCUUCGCGCUGAUCGGACUCGUCUGCGGAGCCCUGAGACACAGGCAGACCCUCAGAGCCUGGGCUGCGGGCAGAUGCGGCCUGAGAGCCUGCUACAAGACCGCCGCCUUCGAGGAGAGCGACAGACCCUUUGACGCGUACAUCUCGUACUCGGCGAAGGACGAGGCGUUCGUAUCGAGGUCCCUUGCCCCCGGCCUCGAAAUGUCCUACAGACUCUGUCUCCACUACCGCGACCUCGGCUCAGGUUCGAGCGUCGCCGAUGCCGUAAACGAGGCGGCCGACUCCUCGCGACGAACCAUCCUCGUUCUGUCCAGAAACUUCAUCCAUGGCGAAUGGGCGAGAUUUGAGUUUAAAGCAGCGCUCAGAAGCAUCCUCAGGGACAAAGGACGCUCCGUUAUCUUUCUACUGGUUGGUGGUGUUAGUCCCCAGGAUCUCGAUUCGGAUUUGCGGAAGCGAAUUGCCUCCCACACGGUCGUCGCCUGGGGCGAGAAACUCUUCUGGCAAAAGCUCAGAUUCGCAAUGCCUGAUCCACCCGCCUCACUGGUUACCUUAGACAGGGGACUUCCUCCGCCGCCGCUCCCUCCGCCGCCGCAUCACCUGUGGGCGUAGCGGAUGUUUCAGUGCAGAUUUUAAUCCCGAUCUCGUCCACAACGAAAUAUAUAAGCAGACAACGCCCAAAACCUCGACUGAUUAUUAUUAUUAACAUUAUUAUUAUUAUUAUUAUUAUUAUUAUUAUUAUUAUUAUUAUUAUUAUUAUUAUCAUUAAUAUCAUAUAAUA
RNAcentral lists this unclassified non-coding RNA (4592 nucleotides) under Neodiprion lecontei (redheaded pine sawfly). RNAcentral's name for it is "toll-like receptor 6, transcript variant X4". The record is from RNAcentral. Lineage: Eukaryota; Metazoa; Arthropoda; Insecta; Hymenoptera; Diprionidae.